This 254-nucleotide ribosomal RNA is filed under the name uncultured bacterium. RNAcentral's name for it is "partial 16S ribosomal RNA". It matches the Rfam family "Bacterial small subunit ribosomal RNA", at positions 524 to 776 of the family's 1533-position model. The record is from RNAcentral.
UACGGGGGGAGCAAGCGUUGUUCGGAUUUACUGGGCGUAAAGGGCGCGUAGGCGGUCGUGACAAGUCACUUGUGAAAUCUCCGGGCUUAACUCGGAACGGUCAAGUGAUACUGUCGGACUAGAGUACAGAAGGGGCAACUGGAAUUCUCGGUGUAGCGGUGAAAUGCGUAGAUAUCAGGAGGAACACCGAUGGCGAAGGCAGGUCAUUGGGCCGCAACUGACGCUGAGGAGCGAAAGCAUGGGGAGCGAACAGG